CCUACGGGUGGCUGCAGUGGGGAAUAUUGGGCAAUGGAGGAAACUCUGACCCAGCAACGCCGCGUGAAGGAUGAAGGUUUUCGGAUUGUAAACUUCUGUCGCGAGGGAUGAAGAAUGACGGUACCUCGUAAGAAAGCCCCGGCAAACUACGUGCCAGCAGCCGCGGUAAUACGUAGGGGGCAAGCGUUAUCCGGAUUUACUGGGUGUAAAGGGAGCGUAGACGGCAAGGCAAGCCAGAAGUGAAAGGGCAGGGCUCAACCCUGUACAUGCUUUUGGAACUGUGGUGCUAGAGUGCAGGAGAGGUAAGUGGAAUUCCUAGUGUAGCGGUGAAAUGCGUAGAUAUUAGGAGGAACACCAGUGGCGAAGGCGGCUUACUGGACUGUAACUGACGUUGAGGCUCGAAAGCGUGGGGAGCAAACAGGAUUAGAUACCCUGGUAGUC
This 441-nucleotide ribosomal RNA is filed under the name uncultured bacterium. Its description in RNAcentral is "partial 16S ribosomal RNA". It matches the Rfam family "Bacterial small subunit ribosomal RNA", at positions 338 to 795 of the family's 1533-position model. The record is from RNAcentral.